GUUUGAUCAUGGCUCAGAACGAACGUUGGCGGCGUGCCUAAUACAUGCAAGUCGAGCGAGAAACGGGUAGCAAUACCCGGAGUACAGCGGCGAAAGGGUGCGUAUGACAUGAAGAACGUACCCCUCCGUUCGGAAUAACCCAGCGAAAGCUGGGCUAAUACCGGAUACGGCCGCGGCGAUGCCUGUCGCUGCGGUGAAAGUCGCAAGACGCGGAUGGAGCGCUUCAUGGCCUAUCAGCUAGUUGGCGGGGUAACGGCCCACCAAGGCGAUGACGGGUAGCCGGACUGAGAGGUCGACCGGCCACACGGGGACUGGGGGGGGGGCCCCGACAUCUACGGAUGGCAGCGGGAGGGAAUAUUGCGCAAUGGGCGAAAGCCUGACGCAGCGACGCCGCGUGGGGGAUGAAGGCCUUCGGGUUGUAAACCCCUUUCAUGUGGGAAGAACACUGACUUAACCACAGGAAGAAGCACCGGCUAACUCCGUGCCAGCAGCUGCGGUAAGACGGAGAGUGCAAACGUUGUUCGGAUUUACUGGGCGUAGAGGGCACGUAGGCGGCCAGGCAAAUCAGUUGUGGAAUCCCGACGCCUACCGUCGGAACGGCAAUUGAAAAUACCUGGCUCGAGGGCAUGAGGGGUCGCGGGAACUCCUGGUGGAGCGGUGAAAUGCGUACAUAUCACGAGGAACGCCGGAGGCGAAAGCCGCGCGACUGGCAUGUUCCCUGAAGCUGAUGUGCAAAAGCCCGGGGGACCAAACAGAAUUAGAUACCCUGUUAGUCCCGGCUGUAAACGAUGGACACUGAAUGGAGGUGGGUUCACCUAUCUCUGUUGCAGCUAACGCGUUAAGUGUCCCGCCUGGGGAGUACGGCCGCAAGGUUAAAACUCAAAGGAAUUGACGGGGGCUCGCACAAGCGGUGGAGCAUGUGGUUCAAUUCGAUGCAACGCGAAGAACCUUACCCGGGCUUGAAGUGGAGGUGGUAGGAGCCGGAAACGGCAACGACCCCGAAAGGGGAGCCUUCAUCAGGUGUUGCAUGGCUGUCGUCAGCUCGUGUCGUGAGAUGUUAGCUUAAGUGCUGUAACGAGCGAAACCCUUGCUGUUAGUUGCAAACCCGAAAGGGUGCACUCUAGCAGGACUGCCCGUGCUGAAUGGGAGGAAGGCGGGGACGACGUCAAGUCAUCAUGGCCCUUAUGUCCGGGGCAACACACGUGCUACAAUGGCCGGUACAAAGGGUUGCCAACGCGCGAGCGGGAGCCAAUCUCAAAAAACCGGCCUCAGUACGGAUCGGAGGCUGCAACUCGCCUCCGUGAAGCUGGAAUCGCUAGUAAUCGCGGAUCAGCCACGCCGCGGUGAAUAUGUUCCCGAGCCUUGUACACACCGCCCGUCAAGCCACCCAAGCACGGAGUACCUGAAGCCCGUGGCCCAACCGCAAGGAGGGCGCGGUCCAAGGUAAGACGUGUGAGGAGGGCUAAGUCGUAACAAGGUAACC
RNAcentral lists this ribosomal RNA (1483 nucleotides) under uncultured bacterium. Its description in RNAcentral is "bacterial SSU rRNA". It matches the Rfam family "Bacterial small subunit ribosomal RNA". The record is from RNAcentral.